CAGCAGCCGCGGAAUACAGAGGGUGCGAGCGUUAAUCGGAUUUACUGGGCGUAAAGCGUGCGUAGGCGGCUUUUUAAGUCGGAUGUGAAAUCCCUGAGCUUAACUUAGGAAUUGCAUUCGAUACUGGGAAGCUAGAGUAUGGGAGAGGAUGGUAGAAUUCCAGGUGUAGCGGUGAAAUGCGUAGAGAUCUGGAGGAAUACCGAUGGCGAAGGCAGCCAUCUGGCCUAAUACUGACGCUGAGGUACGAAAGCAUGGGGAGCAAACAGGAUUAGAUACCCCGGUAGUCCCUGUCUCUUAUACC
RNAcentral lists this ribosomal RNA (301 nucleotides) under uncultured bacterium. RNAcentral describes it as "partial 16S ribosomal RNA". It matches the Rfam family "Bacterial small subunit ribosomal RNA", at positions 509 to 808 of the family's 1533-position model. The record is from RNAcentral.